UACGUAGGGGGCAAGCGUUAUCCGGAUUUACUGGGUGUAAAGGGAGCGUAGACGGCGAUGCAAGUCUGAAGUGAAAGGCGGGGGCCCAACCCCCGGACUGCUUUGGAAACUGUAUGGCUGGAGUGCAGGAGAGGUAAGUGGAAUUCCUAGUGUAACGGUGAAAUGCGUAGAUAUUAGGAGGAACACCAGUGGCGAAGGCGGCUUACUGGACUGUAACUGACGUUGAGGCUCGAAAGCGUGGGGAGCAAACAGG
This 253-nucleotide ribosomal RNA is filed under the name uncultured bacterium. RNAcentral describes it as "partial 16S ribosomal RNA". It matches the Rfam family "Bacterial small subunit ribosomal RNA", at positions 524 to 776 of the family's 1533-position model. The record is from RNAcentral.